UAGGGAAUCUUCGGCAAUGGACGAAAGUCUGACCGAGCAACGCCGCGUGAGUGAAGAAGGUUUUCGGAUCGUAAAACUCUGUUGUUAGAGAAGAACGUUGCAUAGAGUGGAAAAUUAUGCAAGUGACGGUAUCUAACCAGAAAGGGACGGCUAACUACGUGCCAGCAGCCGCGGUAAUACGUAGGUCCCGAGCGUUGUCCGGAUUUAUUGGGCGUAAAGCGAGCGCAGGUGGUUUAAUAAGUCUGAUGUAAAAGGCAGUGGCUCAACCAUUGUGUGCAUUGGAAACUGUUAGACUUGAGUGCAGUAGAGGAGAGUGGAAUUCCAUGUGUAGCGGUGAAAUGCGUAGAUAUAUGGAGGAACACCGGUGGCGAAAGCGGCUCUCUGGACUGUCACUGACACUGAGGCUCGAAAGCGUGGGUAGCAAACA
This 427-nucleotide ribosomal RNA is filed under the name uncultured prokaryote. RNAcentral describes it as "bacterial SSU rRNA". It matches the Rfam family "Bacterial small subunit ribosomal RNA", at positions 355 to 774 of the family's 1533-position model. The record is from RNAcentral.